Molecule: long non-coding RNA, 618 nt
Organism: Gossypium raimondii (Peruvian cotton)
Lineage: Eukaryota; Viridiplantae; Streptophyta; Magnoliopsida; Malvales; Malvaceae
Exons: 3
Source: RefSeq, a predicted model, not a curated record
GACAGAGAGCAUAAGGCUUGAAGAUUCCAGUCCUCUCGCCACCGUAGAAGAUAUCCAAAAACGCCUCCUCCGCCCUGCCUCGCUUCAUUCUCCUCCGGAAGUUUCUAACUCUUUGGCAUUGAAAGUGAAUUCGAAACAGAGCGGAAGAACGGUUAAAAAAAGGCUAGAAGAUUAUUUAGAUCCGGUCAUUCUAGCAGGGAUCUCGUCCAAGAUAAGCCGUUCAAAGAAGGCAAAAUUGGAGACGAAUUUUAAGGGAUUUGAGUGGCCUGUUGAUGAACUUAAGGUGUUCGUGGAAGAGGAUUCGAGGAACUCUAACGGAGGCAGCUGGAGAAACAAAGCCAUUGAUCUUAACGAUGAUUUCGAUGUACUCAGGGAUGGCAGUGAUGGAGAUGAAGAGAUCGGUUCUCCGUUUCAGCGUGUGGGAAAAAAAACGGCGUUGAAGAAAUUCGAGCAUUGAAGAUCUGGAAAUCCAAAAAAAGAUUCAGCUGAGGUUCGUUAGUUCAUUGAAAAUUGGUGAAGAAAUUCGCGCGCUAGAUUUGAUCAAAAGUGGCAAAAUAAAUAGAUCUGUGAGGGUGAAGGGCCAAAGCAUAAAGCUGGACUGGGGCACCUCUGCGGUAC